GGGUAGGGGACUGCGGA
Molecule: ribosomal RNA, 17 nt
Filed under: Psophocarpus tetragonolobus (winged bean)
Lineage: Eukaryota; Viridiplantae; Streptophyta; Magnoliopsida; Fabales; Fabaceae
Description: partial small subunit ribosomal RNA
Source: RNAcentral